Molecule: long non-coding RNA, 4401 nt
Filed under: Ananas comosus (pineapple)
Lineage: Eukaryota; Viridiplantae; Streptophyta; Magnoliopsida; Poales; Bromeliaceae
Description: long non-coding RNA (ACOM_LNC027101)
Source: RNAcentral
UUUUUUUGCCAAAAAGAAAUAUAACAGGAGACACUACAACAGAAUUAGAUUAUAGAGACACAUAUUUAAAACAUUUUGUAUAAGUGUCAUAUUUAUGCCAAAAUUAAAAAAAAAACGUACUAAUACUUAAAUAUAAAGUCCAAUCAAAUCAAAAAUAAAAGGAUACUCUACUCAAUCCACCCCAUCCAGCCUAUUCGGCCCGAUUAUAAACAAAAAAGAAAAAGAAAAAAAAAAGAAAAGAAAAAUCGAUUAUUAUUUCUCCUUCUCCCCUCAUUCAAUCGACUGAAAUCCUAAACGAAGAUCCCCUCAUCUCGUCCUCCUCCGUCACCGCAGCCAACGGGAUAGAGUUCCGACGGUUGCUAGAUGCUUAAAUAAAUACUGAUAAAUUAGCAGCACUCUUUUAGAUUAUAGUAACACUCUUAACUGUCACUAUAUACCUAGCGACCCCACAUAUAGCAACACUUUUUAAAAGUGUCGGUAAUUUAACCGGCAGCACUUUUUUUGACUUAUACCGAUAUUUAAAAGUGUCGCUAUAGACCGUUUUUGUUGUAGUGAGAUAUAAUACGCAAUUAAUAAGAUUAGAUAUUUUUCUGCCUAAUUGCUGGAUCUAAUACCUUGUUCCCACCGAAUGAUAUUUCCAUGAUUUUUUUUUUUUCUUAAAAGGGAAUUGUGUGGGAGGCUUUUGAUUACCUUACAAUGCGCUCCAAAAUACCACAUAGAUUCAUCAACAUAUUUAGAAUAUAUGAAAACAUUGUAUUGUGAAAAUUUUUUGGUAACACUCAUUUAUCUAUUGUUUGAAACCGUGCCCCAAAUUAAUAUUACACAAUCAUUCUCUCGACUUCAGAGACAAAUUGGUUGCAUUCAGUUACAAUUAUACUAUAAUUGUAACUAUGUACAAAUACAAAUUUAGUAUUUAAUUACAUGUAUUUAACUUCAACUGUUAUAAUAGGAUCUGCAAGAAAAAGCCCAACUGUAGCAGUUGGAACUACACUCAAAUUCACAGCAGUUCCAACUGCAGCAGUCGGAGAGAGUAAUUUUAAGCAAAAAUUAAGCUUACCUCCCUAAUUAUCUUUUAAACAAAAAAUAUUUUUCAUUUUUUACAAUGGAGAUAAUUGUACAAUCAUAUAUAUAUAAUAAUAAAAUUUAAAAAAUCAUUUCUCAACUGCAAAUAACCAAACAAAUUAUUUAUAAUUGCAGCGCUUUCUACUAUAUCCAACCAAACAAAAUACAUGUAGUUAUAAUUACUAUCUUUUCUUUUUUGAGAGAUAGAUAGUACGUUACCUGUUUCGUUUAUUUUAUUUAGAAAUAAACUUAGCUGGAAAUGUGAAUCAACUAGGAUUCGAACUUGGGACAUCGGAUAUCAACCAUCAAAUUCUUUGCCACUUAAUUGCUCUAGAAACGAUCGGUAUAUAAUUACUGUAUAUUCAAUCGUAUAUAUUUUCAACUGCACUGUAUUUAUAAUUAUAUCUAAUCAAAUCAAUACUGCCUCUGAUAAAUGAUAAAAUGGAAUGUAGAAAAUAUUAGAAGAAAAAAAAAAAGAAAAGAAAAAAAAGAGAGGGGGGUAGACGACAAAUUGUCCUCUAUCAUGAGCACAGUGGUUAAGUUGGAAGUUUCAAAGAGUUUUGAAGUGGCACUUUCUCAUUCAUUCUAGAUUAACGUACAAAAAGAGGCAAAUUAAUUUAAUUUUAAUUGGAACCUUCGAGCGGGACGCGCGCAUCCACCAAUCGCAUUAAUGCGCAGAACAUCGAUCUCUGGUUAGGUUAGGUUCGCGGGGCCAGGCGUGAUGUGGACCGUUCGAUACGGGGAAGCUCCACCGUCUCUAUCUUACGCAGGGGGUUCUAAAAGUCCGACUUCACGGCCACCAAUACAGCAUGGGUUUGUUUGGUUUUGCUCAAACUUUUAUUUUUAUUUUUAUUAUCAUUUUUGUUUGGGUUUCUAUUUUUUUGUUUAAGUUGUGUAAGACUUCGUUUAAAAUUGUAGACAAAAUGUACAGACUUGCGAUGGGAAAGUACGGGAAAAAAUGUUAGAGUUUUUUUUUUUUUUUUUUUGAGAGAUAGGUAGCACGCUACCCGCUUCGUUUAUUUCAUUUAGAAAUAAACUUAACUGGAAAUGUGAAUCAACUAUGAUUCAAACUUAAGACUCGAGUGCCAACCACCAAGUCCUUUGCCACUUGCUCUAGGGGUGGUCGGUAAUAUGUAAGAGUUAAUUGUACACAGAUCAUGAAUUAUAAAUAUAUUUUUACAAAAUUCAACUUUCAUAUAUUAUUCUUGUAAAGUCCUAAUACUUUCAAAUAUGUCCCUGUCGUUAGAAUUCGUUAGAAAAUUUUAGUUAACCAUAUGUUAAAUACUUAAUUCCGAUUAGUUUAUGAGAUAACUUGAUAUUUUUAUCCAUCUUAUAUGAAAAUAUAAACGGUUCUCUAACGGUAACAAACCAGAGGAAAAUAUUUGAAAAUAUUAGAACUUUUAUAAAAAUAAUAUAUAAAAGUUGAAUUUUGUAGAAAUAUAUUUGCAGGGACCUACCUCUAUGCAAUUAACCCAAUAUAUUAUGAGCGGUGAAAUAGUGUCAUAAAAAGGUAUUACUUUUAUUUUUAAAAGUGGUAACAUGUUAGUAUACCCAAUGUCCCAACUACUAAGUUUGAAGGAUAGUUGUUUCAUAUUUCCAGCUAAUAAAAUUCUAGCUAUAUCAUAUUUUCAGCUAAAUUUAUUUUUAAAAUGAUGAAUGACACAUGUAGCAUGCUACCUUUCUCCCAAAAAAUAAAAGUGAUACAUUUCAAACCGAUAGAACUAAUUCCGCUCAAUUAUAAUUCUUGCAGUCUCACAGAAGAACAUAGAAUUGUAUAUGUUUUUGCAUGCUAAUUGGAUACACGGUGCAUAUUGAAUUAUGAAAUGAGAUGGGGGCAACUGAAGGCACAGUGCAUAGGCGUACGUAUGAAUCCAUUAGGUAUCAACGAAACUUUUCGAAAGUAUUAUCAAAUGAUUAAAUUUGAAAAAUUAAAAGAUUAAAUAGUAAAAAUAUUUGUAAAUUAGAUUGCUGACUCUAAAUAACUCAAAAUAGAUGUUAGUUCUGAACUUUUUUUUUUUUUUUUGAAACAGAUAGAUAGCACGCUACCCGCUUCGUUUAUUUCAUUUAGAAAUAAACUUAGCUGAAAAUGUGAAUCAACUAGAAUUCGAAUUUGGGUCUCGGGGUACCCCCUUAUUAGUGCACUUGCAUUUCUUAUUAGUGCACUUGCAUUUGUUUCAAUGAAGCAACUCAUAUAUAUUGUCCUUAAUUCUAUAUAUGCUGUUAGCUUAAGUGAAUGCAAUGUACCUCCUUGUCAUAUCAAUAUUUAAAUAUGUUUUGUAGUAUAUAACAACCUAUUCAACAAGAAUUACUCAAUAUGGAAAUGAAUGUUUUUUGUUACAGAUAUAUGAGCAUGAAGUAGAUGAAGAAAUUGUUGCGUGCAACGAGCGUACAUAUCUGUACAACUUACACACUGUAUUCAUAAAUAGUUGACGACGCAAAUCUAAAUUCUACAGAUGUAACAUAGAAUAUCUAAAAGUUCUAUAUAUGUAUAAAUAUUAUAAGUUUUGAGAAACUAUUAGUUUCAAUGCAAUAAUUCUCGCUCAAAAAAGAAAAAAAUCAAUGCAACAAUUAAUACAGAAGAGAACAUUGUUUUUAUCACAACAAUAGGUAUUCAAAAUUUAUAUUUUUUGAUAUAAGGGCAUAGAACACAUCCAACGAUUAAAUUCAAAUUCUAAACUCUUUCACUACAACAGAAUUAGGUUAUAGGGACACAUGUUUGGGACACUUUUGAGUAAGUGUCCCAUUUAUGCUAAAACUUAAAAAAAACAUCUACUAAUGCCUAAAUAAAAAGCCCAAUCCAACCAAAAAUAAAAGAUUACUCUACUCAACCCACCACACCCAGUCCAUUUGGCCCGAUUACAAACAGAAAAGAAAAAAAAAAAGAAAAAUUAAUUACCAUCUUUUCUUCUCUCUUUACUCAAUCCACUGAAAUUCUAGACGAAGAGCCUUUCCUGUCGUUCUCCUCCGCCAGCGCAGCCAACGAGAUAGAGUUUCGACAGUUGCUAAAUGUUUAAAUAAGUGUUGGUAAAUUAGUAGCACUCUUUUAGGUUAUAGCGACACUUUUUAACUGUCACUAUAUACCUAGCGACCCCACAUAUAGCAACACUUUUUAAAAGUAUCAGUAAUUUUAGCUAGCAGCACUUUUUUGACAUGUACCUACAUUUAAAAGUGUCGCUAUAGACCGUUUUUGUUGUAGUGUUUAUAGUAAUUAAUAGGGGAUUUGAAAUGCAAUGUGAUGUAUUAAAUAUGAAAAUAUAAAAAUACCGUUCUCUACUAAUUUAUGCUUUUUGAAAAUAAUAGCUAUUCCAUAAAAAUGCCGUUCUCUACUUUAUGCUUUUG